Molecule: ribosomal RNA, 484 nt
Filed under: uncultured bacterium
Lineage: Bacteria
Description: partial 16S ribosomal RNA
Rfam family: Bacterial small subunit ribosomal RNA
Source: RNAcentral
AUUGAACGCUGGCGGAAUGCUUUACACAUGCAAGUCGAACGGCAGCACGGGGGCAGCCCUGGUGGCGAGUGGCGAACGGGUGAGUAAUACAUCGGAACGUGCCCGGUCGUGGGGGAUAACGUAGCGAAAGUUACGCUAAUACCGCAUACGAUCUGAGGAUGAAAGCGGGGGACCUUCGGGCCUCGCGCGAUCGGAGCGGCCGAUGUCAGAUUAGGUAGUUGGUGGGGUAAAGGCCUACCAAGCCGACGAUCUGUAGCUGGUCUGAGAGGACGACCAGCCACACUGGGACUGAGACACGGCCCAGACUCCUACGGAAGGCAGCAGUGGGGAAUUUUGGACAAUGGGCGCAAGCCUGAUCCAGCCAUUCCGCGUGCAGGACGAAGGCCUUCGGGUUGUAAACUGCUUUUGUACGGAACGAAAAGGCUCUGGCUAAUACCUGGGGCUCAUGACGGUACCGUAAGAAUAAGCACCGGCUAACUACGUG